GAUGAACGCUGGCGGCGUGCCUAAUACAUGCAAGUCGAGCGAACAGACGAGGAGCUUGCUCCUCUUACGUUAGCGGCGGACGGGUGAGUAACACGUGGAUAACCUACCUAUAAGACUGGGAUAACUUCGGGAAACCGGAGCUAAUACCGGAUAAGAUAUUGAACCUCAUGGUUCAAUAGUGAAAGACGGUUUUGCUGUCACUUAUAGAUGGAUCCACGCCGCAUUAGCUAGUUGGUAAGGUAACGGCUUACCAAGGCGACGAUGCGUAGCCGACCUGAGAGGGUGAUCGGCCACACUGGAACUGAGACACGGUCCAGACUCCUACGGGAGGCAGCAGUAGGGAAUCUUCCGCAAUGGGCGAAAGCCUGACGGAGCAACGCCGCGUGAGUGAUGAAGGUCUUCGGAUCGUAAAACUCUGUUAUUAGGGAAGAACAAAUGUGUAAGUAACUAUGCACGUCUUGACGGUACCUAAUCAGAAAGCCACGGCUAACUACGUG
Molecule: ribosomal RNA, 497 nt
Filed under: uncultured bacterium
Lineage: Bacteria
Description: partial 16S ribosomal RNA
Rfam family: Bacterial small subunit ribosomal RNA
Source: RNAcentral